CACGCCCUAAACGAUGGAUACUAGGCGUAAGAGGUAUCGACCCCUCUUGUGCCGUAGCUAACGCAUUAAGUAUCCCGCCUGGGGAGUACGGCCGCAAGGUUGAAACUCAAAUGAAUUGACGGGGACCCGCACAAGCGGUGGAGCAUGUGGAUUAAUUCGAUACUAACCGAAGAACCUUACCCAGGUUUGACAUCGAAGGCAAUCCUGUGAAAGCAGGCCCCCGGCCCACAAGGCCGGCCUGAAGACACCUGU
RNAcentral lists this ribosomal RNA (252 nucleotides) under uncultured Armatimonadota bacterium. RNAcentral's name for it is "uncultured Armatimonadetes bacterium partial 16S ribosomal RNA". It matches the Rfam family "Bacterial small subunit ribosomal RNA", at positions 796 to 1041 of the family's 1533-position model. Lineage: Bacteria; Bacillati; Armatimonadota. The record is from RNAcentral.